RNAcentral lists this long non-coding RNA (466 nucleotides) under Fukomys damarensis (Damara mole-rat). RNAcentral's name for it is "lncRNA (ENSFDAG00000029517.1)". Lineage: Eukaryota; Metazoa; Chordata; Mammalia; Rodentia; Bathyergidae. The record is from RNAcentral.
UUCAGCUACUCCAAGAAGGAAGAUGAAGGUGGGAACUGCUGCAGCUGUCUCAUGGCCAAUGGGAAACAGCUGGCGGGCAAAGCUCAUGGAAGGAACUCGUAUCUGAUGACCAAGUCUAAAAGCCUUCAGCUCUGAGUUGUUGGCUUUGCUUCAUACCAGCUUCAAUCCUGUUCAGUGUUGCUGGGAGAUAACAAAUCGGCAGGCUCAGAACAAGCAGAGGCUCCCCAGCAAAGGUGCGAAGACCAUUAGGGCUUCCAGGAGACCCUCACCUUAGCACGGAGGAAUGAAGCACCAACAGUUUUUCUCUCAGGUGGACCGGAAGAAGGUACGUGGAGCACCAGGCUUAAAAUCAGAGAGGAAGGUGCCUGGAAAGAUAGGGAGCCCUGCCACAGGCCCCAGAGAGCUGCGCACACCCACACGAAUGACAACUCAGAGGUCUCAGGAUUGCUGGGACGAGGCACACAGC